RNAcentral lists this long non-coding RNA (4721 nucleotides) under Sus scrofa (pig). RNAcentral's name for it is "lncRNA (ENSSSCG00040004328.1)". Lineage: Eukaryota; Metazoa; Chordata; Mammalia; Artiodactyla; Suidae. The record is from RNAcentral.
CAGUUUAUCUCUUUCAAUAAGACCUUUCCAUUUGUGUUUGGCUCAGAUGUGACAGAGUAAUCAAAGAAAUCACAAUAAAUCUCUGUUCCCACACCUUGUGAAAUGUUUCAUUUCUCUCCACCAGCCCUUGUACUCUGCCUUUUCAGGGCCCAGACCAACACUUGAAAGAAGUCUUUAUUUCUUAUUCACAUUACCUUACACCAAUGCCUGAUCAUGAUAGGGAGUUCCCGUUGUGGCACAGUGGAAAUGAAUCCAACUAGUAUCUAUGAGGACGCGAGUUCAAUCCCUGGCCUUGCUCAGUGGGUUGGGGAUCCAGCGUUGCCAUGAGCUGUGAUGUAGGUUGAAGACUCAGCUUGGAUCUGGCGCUGCUGUGGUUGUGGCGUAGGCCGGCAGCUGCAGCUCCAAUUCAACUCUUUCCCUGGGAACAUCCAUGUGCAGCGGGUGUGGCCCUAAAACCAAUAAAAAAAAAAAGGGGGGAGGAAACUUGGGCACAAAGGCAGGCAUGGCAAUGGGGAGAACUCCCUGUGAAGAUAAAGGAAGAGAUCAGGGCAAUGCAUUUAUGAGUCAAGGAAUCCCCACAUUUGCAAGAGAUCUACUAGAAGCUGAGAAAGAGGCCUGGAACAGACUCACCUGCACAGCUCUUAGAAGGAAUUAACCCUGCUUACACCUUGAUUUUUGGACUUCUAGCCUAUAGAAACAUAAGACAAUACAUUUCUGUUGUUUAAGCCACUCCACUUUGGUAUUUUGUUGUGGUAGCCCCGGAAAACUGACAGCCACCAUGCAGACUCUGUAACACAUAGCACAAUGGGAGACAAGCUGCAAAUUAUAUAACACAAAAUUAUUCAGAAAAGUCAAAUAAAAAUUCAGAAGACAAAAGAAAUCCAAUAUGUGAUCAAUGUUUAUUUAUUGUACUCUAAUCAGUACAGUAUUUAGAAAAUGAGACCUCACUCAUUAUCACAGAUGUGACCAAGUAUUUUUAACUAUAUUAAUUGUUCAUAAAAAUAAAAUCCUUUAGUCUGGAAAAUAAUUGUAAUGCCCCCAAGAACUGUAUUCUCCAAGAUUCAUGCAUGUGAAAUUGGCAAACUUGUUUUCAAUUCACAGAGGAAAUCGAUAUUGCUCAGAAACUGGAAGAUAUUUAACUAUUGAAAUCCAGUCAGAGCUUUCAAUUCAGUGUAGGCAGGUUGUGAUUCUGAAGCUCUACGGAAUGAAGAGUGAUAGGCAAGGACAGCCUUCAUAAAUACCUUUCCCCAGAAUAUUUAGGAAUAGCUUCUAACCAUCAAACUCAGGCCAUGCUUUCAUAUGCUUUUCUAAUUUGCUUAAAAGUACAAAGAGAAAUAAUUCAAAUAAUAUGGAAAAUAAGAUUGUGUUUUAGUGGAUCCAGUGCAAUUUGUUGGCAAAUAUUGAAAUUCGUUUGUGAAUUAGGUGUAAAAUCACCAGACACAGAGUUAAGAUAAACAUGAUUCCAUUCUGUAACAACUGAGGUUAGUUGUUACUACAAAAAAGAGACCAUGAUAACAGGUUAUAUAGAUUUUUCUGUAUUUUUCUAUCUUAUUUCUCACCAGCCACCACACUUCUUCCACAUUUGUUCCAGCUCUAACUUAUAAGAAUGCAUCAUUCAAAAAACUAUUUAAGGAGUUCCCUUGUGGGAAUAGUGAUUAAGGAUCUGGCAUUGUCACUGCAAUGGCUCAGGUCAAUUCUAUAGCACAGAUUCAAUGCCUAGGCCUGGAAGCUUCUGCAUGCCACAGGUGCAGCCAAAACAACAACAACAACAACAAAACUUAAAAAUUUAUUGGAAACUAUUAACUUUUUCAUUAAUUCAACAAAUAUUUAUUUUGUUUCUGUAGUGGGCCAGGCACCAUCCUAGGAUACACUGGUAAAUGAAAUAGGUACAAUUUCUGCUUUUGUAAAACAUACCCAUUUGUAAGUUUGUGUUUAGUGCCAAAGGAGUGCAUAGAUAUGGAAUAUUCCCACAAGAAGUUCAUGGUAUAUCACCAUGGCCAGCCACACCCAAGAUCUCUCAAGUAACAAUACAAUAUAUGACACAGGAUGAGUCCAGUAGGUGAUGUUAACAAUUACUGCUGAGUUAAGGAAAAUCACUGUAUUUCAGACACCCAUUGCUGUUCUGCCUAGAACCCUUCUUCUUCUAUGAAAUGUCCUUACCCCCACUCUAUAUCCGUGAUUAAAGCAGAGGCACUUAUACUUCAAUGUGACCCUGACCCCAGGAACUAUGCACAUCACCUACAAUCAUCUAGAAUCUGAAAUGGAUUAUGAUAAUUGGUAUAAUUGAGUUGAAACCCAGAGAGCAGCUAAGGUUUUGCUGUCACCUGUGAUGUAAAGAAAGUUGACUUAAAUCCCCAUUUUUGUCUUGUGACUUAUAAAGUAUCUUCAGCCUCCAAGUUCUGCUCUGCUGAUUGCUUUUUUUUUUUCACUCUGCCUUGUGAGUGCACCUUUAUUUCCACUGUUUUGAACAAAAUAUACGUCCCCCCCCAAUAAAGAUAAAAGCCACAUGUCGCGAGACCUUUAAAUGUGUGGCAUACUUUACUGAAUGCUUUAGAAAUACAGAUAGGAUGUACAUCACCAAAACAGACACCCUUACAGGGACUAUUAAUGUCUUUAUCCUAAUCUUUAGGCUCUUCUGCCAUGUUACUCAGCUGUUUUCCCCAGUCCCCUCUCUGUUCACUGCAAACUCCUACUUAUUUCUCAAGCACAGCAAGUGGGCCACUUAUUACCAGGUCUUUCGCUAUUCGAUUGCAUAUUUGGGGAUGAUCAAGACCUUUUCCUAAACAAAGGUAAAUUCUUCCCUAAAAUAAUUCUGUUCUCUGUUAAUCAGAUUUUUUUUUUUUUAAAUCCCCUCUACAGAACAAUAACCAAGUGCUUUGGAAAAAGAUAAAAAGGAGACAGUCCUUCUGGAAAGACUUAAAAGGUGAUAUUUAGUUGGGUUUGAAAGGAUUAGCUUCCUCAGGCCAAAAAAGAGAUGAAUGGCAUCCUUUGUGGAGGGGAUCCCAUAAGAAAGGAUAGAGAAAUAUAAAAAUACAGAGCAGGUUCCAAGAGUUUCGCUGCUAACCCAGGUAUUUCUCAAGUAGAAUUCCAGGUCAGAUUGAGAAGGUGAUUUAAGUGAGGGAGAGAAUCUUGAAAGAUGGUCCAUGGAAAUAGGAGUUUACUAUGAAUCCCCCAAAGUUUCUCUUCUUCAUGACAGGAGGACCCUGUGUUUUAAGCUAUCAGCUCUAGAAAUUGGUUUGUACCACUUCAACAACAUAUAUUACUUAGGAUGUGAUAAGCACACUGCUAAUCAUUGGUGAUGUAAGAUGAAUACAGUGCUGAAAAUGCUUAUACACUGGGAAAGAUCUAUUGCAAAGCUUCUUACACACAGUAUGGCCAGAUGGACACACAAUCUACAUCUAGUGUGAUAUCUUCAGCCUUUGGGGUAGAUUGAGAUAGUGAUCUCUUCAGCCUUUGGGGCAACUAGGAGGAAACUGGGAUGGCCAGAAUCUCCACCCAGUCUUCCCCAGUCACAGGAAAACUUCUCCCUUGACAUCCGUGUGCAAUGCAAAUAUCCAGCAGAGGAUGAGGAGGAUACUGUUGCAGAAGCCCAGGUGAGCUGGGUGAGAGUACAGUCAUGGGGUUGGUAAAGAACAACUGAAUUUGGGAGCUCUUAGUGUGGUAGAAUCAACAGAUAUUGGCAGUUGAAUUCUUAUGGAAAAUGAGGAUGAAGGAGAAGAUAAUGGAAUAAGCAUGAGGAGCAUUUGAAUGGGAAAAUUUCUGUUUUGAGCCACCCAUCAAACUGAAGUAGAUAUAAGUUUGGAGAAUUGAAAAUAUUUGAACCUGAUCCUGGGGGGAGAGAGUUUGUAUCCAAAAAUGACUGAGAAUUUCUGGAAUUCAAUGGUUUGUUUUCUGUUGUAUCUUCAAACUUUUCCCUUGUUAAACACCCCAAAAUAUGAGCCUUGACAGAGUCUUGGCUGUGGGCAAGUUGGAGGUGGGAUAUUUAUAGAGCUUUAGUUCUGGGCUGAAAUGGCUUAUUAGCACCUUUUUCAAAAUGAGGAGCUGAUUGGGAUUCAGCAAAAAUUGUGACAAUAGUUUAGGGUUGGUAGACCAAAUAAGGCAAGGGUUUUGAAGCAAGCCUUGAUUUGUAGCCAGUUGUUUGAUAAGCAAGAGUUUGCCCACGUGAGCAGACCACUGUCCCCAACAAAUUAAUUUGUAGGAACUUCCUAAAAAUAAAAAAGGAUUAAGCAGAUUUGGACUCAGGUUUACUCACUGCCAUCUAAGUUAAAGCUUGCAUCUAAAUAGCAGGGCUCCCUUUCUAUCUGAAGCUCACAUCUCAUCUCCUCCACUAUAUUGUUCUACGAAUUAUCCCCACUUCUUUCACAUUUUCUCUUUUCUUCUUCAUUGGAUCCUUCCUUCCUAAUGUGUUGUCUUCUAAUUUUCUUCUCACCUAUUUGACUGUUUUUUAAAAUUUCUUUUUCUGAGUUCCCAUUGUGGCUCAGCGGAAACAAAUCUGACUAGCAUCCAUGAGGACGCAGCUUCGAUUGCUGGCCUUGCUCAGUGGGUUAAGGAUCCAGCAUUGCCAUGAGCUGUGAUGUAAGUCACAGAUGCGGCUUGGAUCUGGCGUUACUGUGGCUGAGGCUGUGGCUAGCAGCUAUAGCUCCAGUUGGAUCCCUAGCCUGGGAACCUCCGUAUGCCUUGAGUGUGGCCCUAAAAAGACCAAAAAAAAAAAAAAAAAAAAA